This 446-nucleotide ribosomal RNA is filed under the name uncultured bacterium. RNAcentral's name for it is "partial 16S ribosomal RNA". It matches the Rfam family "Bacterial small subunit ribosomal RNA", at positions 29 to 523 of the family's 1533-position model. The record is from RNAcentral.
AAUGAACGCUGGCGGCAGGCCUACACAUGCAAGUCGAGCGCCCCGCAAGGGGAGCGGCAAACGGGUGAGGAACACGUGGGAAUCUACCAAAUAGUUCGGAAUAGCCUCGGGAAACUGGGAGUAAUACCGGAUACGCUCUACGGAGGAAAGAUUUAUCGCUAUUUGAUGAGCCCGCGUCUGAUUAGCUAGUUGGUGAGGUAAUGGCUCACCAAGGCGACGAUCAGUAGCUGGUUUGAGAGGAUGAUCAGCCACACUGGGACUGAGAUACGGCCCAGACUCCUACGGGAGGCAGCAGUGAGGAAUAUUGGACAAUGGGCGAAAGCCUGAUCCAGCCUUGCCGCGUGUGUGAUGAAGGCCUUCGGGUUGUAAAGCACUUUGAGUGGGGAAGAUAAUGACGGUACCCACAAAACAAGCCCCGGCUAACUCCGUGCCAGCAGCCGCCGUAA